CAAAAAAAUUAUGAUAUCCUGUGCUGAUAUUAUGGCAUCCUGCGUUGAAAUUACGAUUUUCUGCAUAGGAUGUUAUAAUUUUUUCAUAGUAUAUCAUAAUUUUUAUGAAGGAGUAUCAUAAUUUUUAUGAAGGAGUAUUAUAAUUCUGUGAAGGAGGGGUGUCAUAAUUUUUAUAAAGAGGUGUCAUAAUUCUGUGAAAGGGUGUCAU
RNAcentral lists this long non-coding RNA (208 nucleotides) under Elaeis guineensis (African oil palm). RNAcentral's name for it is "long non-coding RNA (EGUI_LNC000050)". The record is from RNAcentral. Lineage: Eukaryota; Viridiplantae; Streptophyta; Magnoliopsida; Arecales; Arecaceae.